RNAcentral lists this ribosomal RNA (548 nucleotides) under uncultured Glomus. RNAcentral describes it as "SSU rRNA". It matches the Rfam family "Eukaryotic small subunit ribosomal RNA", at positions 548 to 1098 of the family's 1831-position model. Lineage: Eukaryota; Fungi; Glomeromycota; Glomeromycetes; Glomerales; Glomeraceae. The record is from RNAcentral.
UUGGAGGGCAAGUCUGGUGCCAGCAGCCGCGGUAAUUCCAGCUCCAAUAGCGUAUAUUAAAGUUGUUGCAGUUAAAAAGCUCGUAGUUGAAUUUUGGAAUCAAUAUGCCGGUCAUGCCUUGGUAUGCACUGGUAUCUUUGAUUUCUCCCUUCUGACGAACUUUGAUGUCAUUAAUUUGGUGUCAUAGGGAAUCAGGACUGUUACUUUGAAAAAAUUAGAGUGUUUAAAGCGAGCUCACGCUUGAAUACAUUAGCAUGGAAUAAUGAAAUAGGACGUUUGAUUCUAUUUUGUUGGUUUCUAGGAUCGACGUAAUGAUUAAUAGGGAUAGUUGGGGGCAUUAGUAUUCAAUUGUCAGAGGUGAAAUUCUUGGAUUUAUUGAAGACUAACUACUGCGAAAGCAUUUGCCAAGGAUGUUUUCAUUAAUCAAGAACGAAAGUUAGGGGAUCGAAGACGAUCAGAUACCGUCGUAGUCUUAACCAUAAACUAUGCCGACUAGGGAUCGGAUGAUGUUAAUUUUUUAAUGACUCAUUCGGCGCCUUACGGGAAAC